UGCCAGCAGCCGCGGUAAUACGAAGGGUGCUAGCGUUGUUCGGAAUUACUGGGCGUAAAGAGCAUGUAGGCGGGUGAAUAAGUCAGACGUGAAAGCCUGGAGCUCAACUCCAGAAUUGCAUUUGAAACUGUUUACCUUGAGGAUAGGCGGAGAAGACGGAAUUCCACGUGUAGCGGUGAAAUGCGUAGAUAUGUGGAAGAACACCGGUGGCGAAGGCGGUCUUCUAGCUUAUUCCUGACACUGAGGCGCGAAAGCAAGGGGAGCAAACAGGAUUAGAUA
RNAcentral lists this ribosomal RNA (279 nucleotides) under uncultured bacterium. Its description in RNAcentral is "partial 16S ribosomal RNA". It matches the Rfam family "Bacterial small subunit ribosomal RNA", at positions 506 to 784 of the family's 1533-position model. The record is from RNAcentral.